Molecule: ribosomal RNA, 279 nt
Filed under: uncultured bacterium
Lineage: Bacteria
Description: partial 16S ribosomal RNA
Rfam family: Bacterial small subunit ribosomal RNA
Source: RNAcentral
UGCCAGCCGCCGCGGUAACACGUAGGUGGCAAGCGUUAUCCGGAAUUACUGGGCGUAAAGGGCACGCAGGCGGUCGGUCAAGUCUGAUGUGAAAGCUCCUGGCUUAACUGGGAGAGGUCGUUAGAAACUGAUCGACUUGAGGCAAUGAGAGGGGUGCGGAAUUCCCGGUGUAGUGGUGGAAUGCGUAGAUAUCGGGAGGAACACCAGUGGCGAAAGCGGCACCCUGGCAUUGACCUGACGCUCAUGUGCGAAAGCGUGGGGAGCGAACGGAAUUAGAUA